RNAcentral lists this ribosomal RNA (440 nucleotides) under uncultured bacterium. RNAcentral describes it as "bacterial SSU rRNA". It matches the Rfam family "Bacterial small subunit ribosomal RNA", at positions 338 to 795 of the family's 1533-position model. The record is from RNAcentral.
CCUACGGGGGGCUGCAGUGGGGAAUAUUGCACGAUGGGGGAAACCCUGAUGCAGCAACGCCGCGUGAGCGAUGAAGGCCUUCGGGCCGUAAAGCUUUGUCUUAAGGGAAGAAUCCUUCGGUUACCUUAGGGGGACGCCCCGCCAAACUACGUGCCAGCAGCCGGGGUAAUACGUAGGGGGCUAGCGUUAUCCGGAAUUACUGGGCGUAACGGGUGCGUCGGCGUCCCUUCAAGUCAGAGGUGAAAGGCUACGGCGCAACCGUAGUAAGCCUUUGAAAAUGUAGGGCUUGAGUGCAGGAGAGGAGAGUGGAAUUCCCAGUGUCGUGGUGAAAUGCGUAGAUAUUGGGAGGAACACCAGUUGCGAAGGCGGCUCUCUGGACUGUAACUGACGCUGAGGCACGAAAGCGUGGGGAGCGAACAGGAUUAGAUACCCGAGUAGUC